UACGAAGGGUGCAAGCGUUACUCGGAAUUACUGGGCGUAAAGCGUGCGUAGGUGGUUUGUUAAGUCUGAUGUGAAAGCCCUGGGCUCAACCUGGGAACGGCAUUGGAAACUGGCUUACUAGAGUGCGGUAGAGGGGUGUGGAAUUCCCGGUGUAGCGGUGAAAUGCGUAGAUAUCUGGAGGAACACCGGUGGCGAAGGCGGCAUCCUGGACCGACACUGACACUGAGGAGCGAAAGCCAGGGGAGCAAACGGG
This 253-nucleotide ribosomal RNA is filed under the name uncultured bacterium. RNAcentral's name for it is "partial 16S ribosomal RNA". It matches the Rfam family "Bacterial small subunit ribosomal RNA", at positions 524 to 776 of the family's 1533-position model. The record is from RNAcentral.